RNAcentral lists this ribosomal RNA (410 nucleotides) under uncultured Streptococcus sp. RNAcentral describes it as "bacterial SSU rRNA". It matches the Rfam family "Bacterial small subunit ribosomal RNA", at positions 969 to 1382 of the family's 1533-position model. The record is from RNAcentral. Lineage: Bacteria; Bacillati; Bacillota; Bacilli; Lactobacillales; Streptococcaceae.
CCUUACCAGGUCUUGACAUCCGAUGCUAUUCUAGAGAUAGAAAGUUACUUGGUACAUCGGUGACAGGUGGUGCAUGGUUGUCGUCAGCUCGUGUCGUGAGAUGUUGGGUUAAGUCCCGCAACGAGCGCAACCCCUAUUGUUAGUUGCCAUCAUUCAGUUGGGCACUCUAGCGAGACUGCCGGUAAUAAACCGGAGGAAGGUGGGGAUGACGUCAAAUCAUCAUGCCCCUUAUGACCUGGGCUACACACGUGCUACAAUGGUUGGUACAACGAGUUGCGAGUCGGUGACGGCGAGCUAAUCUCUUAAAGCCAAUCUCAGUUCGGAUUGUAGGCUGCAACUCGCCUACAUGAAGUCGGAAUCGCUAGUAAUCGCGGAUCAGCACGCCGCGGUGAAUACGGUUCCCGGGCCUU